ACAUGCAAGUCGAGGGGCAGCAUCAUCAAAGCUUGCUUUGAUGGAUGGCGACCGGCGCACGGGUGAGUAACACGUAUCCAACCUGCCGACAACACUGGGAUAGCCUUUCGAAAGAAAGAUUAAUACCGGAUGGCAUAAUUAUUCCGCAUGGGAUAAUUAUUAAAGAAUUUCGGUUGUCGAUGGGGAUGCGUUCCAUUAGGCAGUUGGCGGGGUAACGGCCCACCAAACCUACGAUGGAUAGGGGUUCUGAGAGGAAGGUCCCCCACAUUGGAACUGAGACACGGUCCAAACUCCUACGGGAGGCAGCAGUGAGGAAUAUUGGUCAAUGGACGAGAGUCUGAACCAGCCAAGUAGCGUGAAGGAUGACUGCCCUAUGGGUUGUAAACUUCUUUUAUACGGGAAUAAAGUGAGCCACGUGUGGCUUUUUGUAUGUACCGUAUGAAUAAGGAUCGGCUAACUCCGUGCCAGCAGCCGCGGUAAUACGGAGGAUCCGAGCGUUAUCCGGAUUUAUUGGGUUUAAAGGGAGCGUAGGCGGGUUAUUAAGUCAGUUGUGAAAGUUUGCGGCUCAACCGUAAAAUUGCAGUUGAUACUGGCGACCUUGAGUGCAACAGAGGUAGGCGGAAUUCGUGGUGUAGCGGUGAAAUGCUUAGAUAUCACGAAGAACUCCGAUUGCGAAGGCAGCUUGCUGGACUGUAACUGACGCUGAUGCUCGAAAGUGUGGGUAUCAAACAGGAUUAGAUACCCUGGUAGUCCACACAGUAAACGAUGAAUACUCGCUGUUUGCGAUAUACAGUAAGCGGCCAAGCGAAAGCGUUAAGUAUUCCACCUGGGGAGUACGCCGGCAACGGUGAAACUCAAAGGAAUUGACGGGGGCCCGCACAAGCGGAGGAACAUGUGGUUUAAUUCGAUGAUACGCGA
Molecule: ribosomal RNA, 918 nt
Filed under: uncultured bacterium
Lineage: Bacteria
Description: bacterial SSU rRNA
Rfam family: Bacterial small subunit ribosomal RNA
Source: RNAcentral